RNAcentral lists this ribosomal RNA (355 nucleotides) under uncultured bacterium. RNAcentral's name for it is "partial 16S ribosomal RNA". It matches the Rfam family "Bacterial small subunit ribosomal RNA", at positions 338 to 690 of the family's 1533-position model. The record is from RNAcentral.
CCUACGGGUGGCAGCAGUGAGGAAUAUUGGUCAAUGGGCGGAAGCCUGAACCAGCCAAGUAGCGUGCAGGAUGACGGCCCUACGGGUUGUAAACUGCUUUUAUACGGGAAUAACGCGCCUUACGUGUAGGGCUUUGCAUGUACCGUAUGAAUAAGGACCGGCUAAUUCCGUGCCAGCAGCCGCGGUAAUACGGAAGGUCCGGGCGGUAUCCGGAGUUAUUGGGUGUAAAGGGAGCGUAGGCCGCAUGUCAAGCGUGCUGUGAAAUGGCCGGGCCCAACCCGGGCCUUGCAGCGCGAACUGGCGUGGUUGGGACCGGGGAAGGCAGGCGGAAUUCGUGGGGUAGCGGGGAAAUGGU